Molecule: transfer RNA, 69 nt
Filed under: Okamejei kenojei (ocellate spot skate)
Lineage: Eukaryota; Metazoa; Chordata; Chondrichthyes; Rajiformes; Rajidae
Description: tRNA-Pro
Rfam family: tRNA
About the family: Transfer RNA (tRNA) molecules are approximately 80 nucleotides in length. Their secondary structure includes four short double-helical elements and three loops (D, anti-codon, and T loops).
Source: RNAcentral
CAGGAUGUAGUUUAAACAGAAUCUUGGCUUUGGGAGCCAAGGGUGGGAGUUCAAUCCUCUCUUUCCUGA